CACUCUGUGGUAACCUGGAUGUCCCCCGUGCCCUGUGUCCUGGGAUGCUGGGUUCCUGCCCCGCCCACAGGCUUAAGGGGCAAGGACACAAUGAGCACAGGAGACACGAUCAGCUCAACCGUCAUCAUUUAUAUCUCCAAUUUGACCAUCAUAACACCACACACUGUACCAAUUGAGUAGCAGGCUUUUUUUUUUUUCAUUAUUAUUCACUUCUUUUUUGCCCUUGAACUGUUUCCUCUACUGUAAAUAAAAAAAUCGACUUUGUAUUAGACCAGUGCCCUCCCCCGGACACACUCAUUGUCCUGGGCGACUUCAAUGUAACCGCUGGCGCUGACAAGGUUGUCUACGAGCUGUGUGAUGGUCCCUAUGGCUCUGGUACCAGGAACACCAACAGCUCUCACCUCCUGAAUUUUGCAAGAUCCAGAAGGUUGAGAACAUGGAGGUAGGAUUAGGAGGAGACGGCGCGAGCUGGGUGAGGUGUCCCAGGAAAGUGAAGCCAGUUUGCCUGCGCUGGCCAACGCCCAGGACUGGCAGGAUGGCCGCGCCAACCCUUAGUAUCAGUAGCUUUAUUAAAUGUUUUUAUCAAUUGUUUCACUAUCUGUUAAGGUACUACAACUUUUUUCUUGCUUUUAGACCAAGACAUUUUUAUUAUUAUUUCAAGUACUUUUCAAAUUAAUAUUUAAUUGUAUUAAAACAAGUACUCAUGCGCGAAAAUGAGUAUUUUCAGUGCAAUGAGCUACAUACUAGAGAUACAAAUAUACGUACAUGCAUUAACGACCAUUUUUCACGUAACCUAAACCCUGAUUUUAUAUCUUGUGGAUAAUAAAUGUUCAUAGCACAACUAAUAACACCUGAUUUAUUAGUUAAUUGUAAAGUAUAUAAUUAUAAGUACACUAUUAUAAAAUCAUCCAUCCUAAAUUUAACAAGAGAAAUUGAAAGUAGGUUUGGUUUGUAUUUAUUGGCCACUGAAAUGAAUAAGUUUGGUGACGGCUCCUUACCUUAAUAUUACUUGCUGAUUUAUUAGUUAUCUGUGUAGCAUCAUACUUAAGCCGUACCUGCAAAUAUGUCUCAGCAACUGCCUUAACUAACAGACGCAGGUGGUUUUCCUGAGGGUCUGUGUCAUGCAUGUGAUUAGUUAUGGUGGGGAAUAUGUUUUUUUGGUUGCAAUAAGCCAGCACUGAAAUAACUAACUUACUAACAGCCCCCUGCCCUAAAUUGUUGCUUGACACUCUUUCUCUGAACAGUUUUUCUGAAGUGUUACAAAUAUCAAUAACACCAUCAGAAGGAUAUACCAAGUUUCCUCUAUCCUUUACUUUAACUAGUGAGUGAAGGAUCAACUUUCACUUGUCGCAUAUAACUAAGAUUUUAUAAUAAGUGUUAAGGAAUACCUAUAUUGACAACGGAAGUUUAUUUUUUUAUCUAUAUUCACCAUUGCUAAGACAACUACUUUUAAGAAUAUUUCAUUCCAUAAUACCUAAUAAGAAGCUAUAACACCACACUCAGUAGGCUGAAGUCUGUAGUUUAAUAAUGAAAUCUUACUCCAUUUAUCAGUUACUGCGUAGUUUAUCUUCACCUCAGUUUAGUUUUAGAUUACACCUAAUAUUACUUAGUUGUGAAAUGUAAGUGUAGGGUAUUUUUCCUUAUCAAACCUCGCGCUGCAGCCGUGUUCAGCACAGGACACUGGCAUCGUGAGCAGCCCGUGAGGCACGUCCACACACAGUCCAUUGACUUUGACAAAUGACUGAAUGCAGUGAUUCAUAUCUAUAGUGAGGUCUAGGUAGAGCGCAGUCAGAUCAAAGCUAAGCCUAGGUGAGGCUGGGAGCGGCCGACACUUGCUUCUUGCCAGUCCCAAGAUGGCGGACUCUACUUCACUUUUUCCCACUGCGCGCCGCCGCCUCCUAAUCCUACCUCCACAGUUGAGAAGUGCAGGUUUUUGGUACCUGAGAUCAGAGCUGCACUGCUGAACUUGGUAUAGCGAUGCCGGAGGGAUAGUUAAGGAGGCUGACCACAUCUUCAUAAGCACUGAUUGGAGGAUCCUUCAGAACUGCACUGUUUACUGGAGUGCUGAGUUCUUUGCAACUGACCUUAGGCUUGUUGUUGCAACACUCAAGCUUCAUGUCAUUUCAAAAAGAAUCUCAAGAUGCAUCAAUACUGUGUUCCAUCUCGAGAGGCUGAAGGGCCUGGCAUCUCAGGAGUAUGCAGUGACAGUCUCAAAUUGGUUCAAUGUGCUCAGCACCCUGGAGGACCCUGUAGAACUGUGGGACACCUUCAAACGUGAGACCCUUUGAGCUGCCAAGGAGUGCAUGUCCUACCCGGCUCUUUUACAACCAAAAUCCUAUUAAUAUCCCCCUUAUUUUAAAGCCCUUCAUCAAUUUAUAAACUUCAAUCAUCUCCUCGUAGCCUCAUUGGGAAUUGGAACCAAUGCAGGGCUGUCACAAAGGGCUACAAGGAGAGGCAUGUCAGGGUCUGGCUGAGGAUAGUGAGUGCCAUGUCAAUACGAAUGACCUGCGACCUGCUGUCUGAGCUCUGAGGAAGCUUUGCUCUGAGCCUCUAUCGGGUGAACGCUUUCCAAACAGCAGACGGCCGAGGGCUCAUUGGGCUGAGUACUUUGCUUCAAAACCCAUUGCCUCCUGUUGCUCCUGCCCACCACCUUCACCUCCACUCACUAGAUAAGUUUUCCUUCACCACUUAGAGCCAGUCCACACAUGCCAGCUGUGCCACAUUCUUAAGGUAAUAAUAAGGAUCUUAUUCAAGUUAUUACAAACUUUAAAAUAUUCAUCACACAUUUUGUUUAUUAGUGAAUAGUGUGUAUUAUUCCUGAGUUGAUGUGUGUGUUUACACUGUACACUUGUUACUUCAUGUUCACAUGCACACAUCCUACACUACUGUACAGUGCUGUGGUAAAUAAUCUUAUACAGCCUUGUGUUCUCUUUGCUCCAGGGAGCAGCAGCAGCGCUCCAGUGUGGCGGAAGAGACUAAAGAGCACGUUGUGGCAUUGCUCCAAGCUCUCCCGCACCAAGAGAUGUCACCCAUUAACAACUCAACCCACAGGAGAGAGAGAGAGAGAGAGACCCUUGUGCUGGGCCCACUAUCAAUCCCCACGCUACCACCUCGGAUUUUUCAGUCACCGCUGAGUGGCUUAAAAGAGAGAGAGAGAGAGAGAGAGAGAGAGAGAGAGAGAGAGAGAGGGAGGGUCUUUAAUGUGUCUGGGGGGUUUGUCAACAACCUGUGGGGUCACAUCCUGGGAGUCCUGUAAUAUAUAUAUAUAUUUUUUUUUAGGGGAGGCGGUGGCUGAAUGGAUAGCGAGACGGCCCCGCGUUCAGGAGGACGCGAGUUCAAUCCCUUACCAGUGCCACCAAGUUGGGAUUUUUCAGCUGCCGCCGAGUGGCUUAAAACUACCCACAUGCUGUCCAGAAGACCACCUAUCAACCUGGACCCUAGAUUCUAGGAUUAAAGAUGAGCUCCGGGAGGGCAGCAUGACCCAAUGCAAGAUGGCGCCAGAACGGGCUGGGCCGACCAUCAGGCCUCACUGGGAAGAAGCCUUGGACCCGGCACUGCAGCCUCUUGUGGCCAGGAAGGGGAGGUGGCCACACACACUGGCAGCAGACAGCCAGGUGUGUAAUCCAUCCAGGGAGACACACUCAGAGUCUAUGUACAGCAGAGAAACUAUGAACACGUCUUACUGGGAAGGUCACACGCCUGGCUGCCAGUGUGGGUGUGGUCCCCUCCCUUCCUGGCACGAGGGCCACGGUGCCGGGCUGUGUGGCAGGCGUGGCCCAUCGGUGGUCCAGUGGUGUGGUGCCCGCCAUCACCUUGAAUGCUUGGGGUCAAGUCCCUGCCCUCAGUGAUGCACCCUUCAGGAUCCUUCACUGCUGCUAGCUCCUGUGGUCCUUCCUCAUGUGUUGUCUUCUCUACAGGUCAUCCCAGACUCCCGGGCAGUGUCCUCCCUCGAAAGCCCACACACUGGGCUCGGCACCACAGACCCACCAGUCCUGCCCUGGUGACCUGCCUCCCCAGGGCUGGGCAGACACCCCCACCAGGAGGUGCAGGACAGCCGGGGUGUUCCAGGAGGGGUGGCAGCUGCUUGCCCCGCAGGGAGGUGCAGGACAGCCGGGGUGUUCCAGGAGGGGUGGCAGCUGCUUGCCCCGCAGGGAGGUGCAGGACAGCCGGGGUGUUCCAGGAGGGGUGGCAGCUGCUUGCCCCGCCAGGAGGUGCAGGACAGCCGGGGUGUUCCAGGAGGGGUGGCAGCUGCUUGCCCCGCAGGGAGGUGCAGGACAGCCGGGGUGUUCCAGGAGGGGUGGCAGCUGCUUGCCCCGCCAGGAGGUGCAGGACAGUCAGGGUGUUCCAGGAGGGGUGGCACCUGCUUGCCCCGCCGGGAGGUGCAGGACAGUCGGGGUGUUCCAGGAGGGGUGGCAGCUGCUUGCCCCGCCGGGAGGUGCAGGACAGCCGGGGUGUUCCAGGAGGGGUGGCAGCUGCUUGCCCCGCAGGGAGGUGCAGGACAGUCGGGGUGUUCCAGGAGGGGUGGCAGCUGCUUGCCCUGCCGGGAGGUGCAGGACAGUCGGGGUGUUCCAGGAGGGGUGGCAGCUGCUUGCCCCGCAGGGAGGUGCAGGACAGUCGGGGUGUUCCAGGAGGGGUGGCAGCUGCUUGCCCCGCCGGGAGGUGCAGGACAGUCGGGGUGUUCCAGGAGGGGUGGCACCUGCUUGCCCUGCCGGGAGGUGCAGGACAGCCGAGGUGUUCCGGCAGCCUCCACUCCCCAGGGACCUUCUCACCUGGCAUGGCUGACCUUCCAGCACCUCCACCUGAAGGAGAAACAUUACAGUUUGUCCCUCACAGAAUAAAGUAUAAUACCA
Molecule: long non-coding RNA, 4850 nt
Organism: Eriocheir sinensis (Chinese mitten crab)
Lineage: Eukaryota; Metazoa; Arthropoda; Malacostraca; Decapoda; Varunidae
Exons: 7
Source: RefSeq, a predicted model, not a curated record